Cynara cardunculus var. scolymus (artichoke) is the source of this 284-nucleotide long non-coding RNA. RefSeq lists it as uncharacterized. NCBI's taxonomy places the organism in Eukaryota, Viridiplantae, Streptophyta, Magnoliopsida, Asterales, Asteraceae. The record is from RefSeq and is a predicted model, not a curated record. The transcript has 2 exons.
UAUAUAUGAUGGUUUCAAAGCUUUUCCUUUUUGGAUUUCUUGGCUUUUUAAUUUGCACCAUUAACAUUGUUGGUGGUAGAAAGCUUUCUGAAGAAGAAAAAACACUUAUUCAUGGAGGAUCGCAUUAAAGGAGGAGUAACAAGUGAAAAUAAGUGGGAGCAUAUCUCCUUUCAAUUAAGACAUGCAUGUGUUUGAGUAGGGUGUUGCAUUUUUAAUUAAGAUGCAUAUGUGUUUUCUAUCUCCAAUUUCCAUAUAUAUAUAUAAUCACAUGACAUAAUAAAGCC